AACAACGCCCUUCCUGUCAUUGUGUCUGCUAAAGUGCAUUUACGGUGCCCGCGUAGUGAAACAUAAAAAAAAAAAAAAAAAAAAAAAAGUGAAAAACUCUAUCGCGAUCAAAGAUCAGAACGAUUCAGAGGGUUAUGACGUUACAAUAGUGAAGGAUGAGUGGAUGGAGAUGUUAGAUGCAGAUGAACCAUUUAUUGCACAGAAAUGGGAUUGUGCUGAAGGUCUCAAUCAUGUGUGUGAAGAAAGAGGAUCAAAAUACAAGUGGGCAGUCUCUCAGAUCUUCAAAGAUCCUAACAACAUAUGAUAUAACAUUGGUUUCUCUGGCUCCACUGGAUCUCUGAAUUUCUGGCACAGUCUCCACAUCUUUGAAGCACAUGAUCAGAGUGGUUGUCCGCACAUUGGGUCUGCAUUCAAGUCUACCAUUUAUCUUUCCUUGUACAUCACACUGGCUGUUCCAGCCAUCCUCUGCCAGCCAACAUAAAUACCACAUGGCGUGGGACCAACAGAGCAAAACUAGUGUGAUAACACUGGUUAAAGAUGGAAAAUACUGUCCAUCUGAAGCUGGAGCGAAACACGGGAUGCCAAAGAGGACUGCUAGAUGCUGGUGGAAAGAGUAUUUGGAAACUGGGCGUAUUGGGCAGAAAGUAGGGAGUGGUCAACCCCAUGUGUCAAGUGUGAGAGAUGACCAGCGUCUCUUGGACAGCAUGUGUUCCAAACCAUUUCUCAGUGUUUCUUCUCUGAGAGAGAUUUGCCAUUUUCCUGGUAGUGCAAGAACUGUGGCAAGGAGACUGAAAAACAGUGGACUUUGCAAUCAAAGAGCUGCUGCUCUAAAUCGGCAUUUAACUGCCUCUCAAAAGAUUGACCAUAUGGCUUUUGCAGAAGAAUAUAUGGACUUUUAUUGGAGUAGAGUCAUUGUUUACGGACAAAAAAUUAUUUUCUUCCAUUAACAAUGCCCUGUGCCAGGUGUCGUCUCCACAGGGAGAGUGUUUCAGUUCCACAUUUUUAGUCAAAAAGAAGAGAAACAAAUGCUUUUAUGCUGGUGUUUGGGGUUACAUCUCUGCUCAGGGAGCAGGGCCACUGUGGAGGAUAGAUUAUAUCUUCAACAGAGAGGCUUAUUUUAAUAUUCUGGACUGUAUAUUGAAGCCAAGCCUUGAGAUGCUUUAUCCUGAGGGUGACAUAUAUUUUCUGCAGGAUGACAGCCCCAUUCAUCAGUGCUUAAGGGUCCAAAAUUGGUUCGAAGGCCAACAAAGAAUAAAACUUAUGCCUUUCGUGCCUAGGUCACCUGAUCUCAACCCAAUGGAAAAUAUGUGGGCUGGGUUACAAGGUCACUACCACCUGACUCUAUCAACACUGAAGACCUUUUGACUAAUAUUGAAAAUGUGUGAUGGAAAAUAAAUGAUCUGCCCAUGUUGUCAAGGCAGUUAGCAUUAUCUAUGCCAAGACGCCUUCGGGCAGUCCUACAGAGAAUAGGUGGUUGGAUUUGCUGUUGACAAACAAAAUGAUGGUCGCUGUGUUUAAAGUUUAUGUAGCUACCUACAUAAGCACGCAGUCUCUCUUAUGUCUCGUCGAAUGGUUAGCGCCCGUCGCCGAAGUUCCAUGGGGUUUUAUCCAAAGAAGAGAUCACUGAGGCUUCGCGGUGAAGUGAAACGAAAGCGUUUCACGCUAUUCCACUUUUUAGCUUUAAAGCUGGUACGAGUCACGUCAUGAGAGACGCCGAUAGGCCUGGUUCAAGUGGGUGAAGAAGAAUCAUACCCGCUUGUAAUGACGAGAUGGUUACUUCUUUGCCAAUCUGGUUUCCCAAUACCAGCAUUCUGUCUUAUCUGCUACUAUCCCAAGAUGUUUUUGAAUGGUACAAGUCAAGGAAGCAGCUUCCAAGAAGUGGUAAUAUGAUUUGGGUUUAUAAGUCAGAUGAUUGUGACCUCCAAAAAAAUUGAGACAUGGCAAGGUGAUCGGAGCACACCGAGAUGUCACAUUGCAUUAGCACACAAAGAAGCUGCCAUGUAAAACAGGCAAGGGUUUAUGUAAGGGUGCUUGCACUGGUGCUUGCCAUUCUGAUACUCAUUCGUUGUAUCCAAACUUGGUUGCCACCAUAGAGCAAAUCAGUGAGAAAAUGUCGCAUUGGUCAGGGAAUUGCUGUGAAAGAUGGAAAGGUGAUGAAAAACAGUGCAUAUAUUGAACAGAGAAGACAGUUACACUAAUGUGAGGUGUCUCACAUUAUGGUAAUGGCAGUGAUGACUUUAUCAUAAAAUAUUUGUGUAAGAGAUCAAAUGAGGAUUAUAACUACAAAAGUCACUACUAGCGCACACAAAGAAGAAGGCUUCGGAAAGAUCAACUUAUAAUUCAUUGAGGCUUCAUCCAUGUUCGGUGGUGGACAGUUCCAAGCUGCUGAUGACAACUUCAUUUAUGGACUUGCUUAAAGACCACAUCAAGGAAGAUGCAGCUUUUGCAUAAUAUGUUGAUUGAAAUAAAAUGAUUGACAUGAUUUGUUAUUAAUCUGUUACAUUUAUCAAAUAUAUACCAAUGGUGUGUAUCAUUUCACAAAAUAUUGUCAUUAAACUGAUAAUUUAACUCAA
Long non-coding RNA from Schistocerca gregaria, 2573 nucleotides. RefSeq lists it as uncharacterized. The transcript is spliced from 12 exons. The record is from RefSeq and is a predicted model, not a curated record. Lineage: Eukaryota; Metazoa; Arthropoda; Insecta; Orthoptera; Acrididae.